RNAcentral lists this ribosomal RNA (460 nucleotides) under uncultured bacterium. RNAcentral's name for it is "partial 16S ribosomal RNA". It matches the Rfam family "Bacterial small subunit ribosomal RNA", at positions 338 to 795 of the family's 1533-position model. The record is from RNAcentral.
CCUACGGGAGGCAGCAGUGAGGAAUAUUGGUCAAUGGACGAGAGUCUGAACCAGCCAAGUAGCGUGAAGGAUGACUGCCCUAUGGGUUGUAAACUUCUUUUAUAUGGGAAUAAACUGUUCCACGUGUGGGCUUUUGUAUGUACCAUAUGAAUAAGGAUCGGCUAACUCCGUGCCAGCAGCCGCGGUAAUACGGAGGAUCCGAGCGUUAUCCGGAUUUAUUGGGUUUAAAGGGAGCGUAGGUGGAUUGUUAAGUCAGUUGUGAAAGUUUGCGGCUCAACCGUAAAAUUGCAGUUGAAACUGGCAGUCUUGAGUACAGUAGAGGUGGGCGGAAUUCGUGGUGUAGCGGUGAAAUGCUUAGAUAUCACGAAGAACUCCGAUUGCGAAGGCAGCUCACUGGACUGCAACUGACACUGAGGCUCGAAAGUGUGGGUAUCAAACAGGAUUAGAUACCCUAGUAGUC